This 448-nucleotide ribosomal RNA is filed under the name uncultured bacterium. RNAcentral's name for it is "bacterial SSU rRNA". It matches the Rfam family "Bacterial small subunit ribosomal RNA", at positions 329 to 793 of the family's 1533-position model. The record is from RNAcentral.
GGCCAGACUCCUACGGGAGGCAGCAGUGGGGAAUAUUGUACAAUGGGGGAAACCCUGAUGCAGCGACGCCGCGUGAGUGAAGAAGUAUUUCGGUAUGUAAAGCUCUAUCAGCAGGGAAGAAAAUGACGGUACCUGACUAAGAGGCCCCGGCUAACUACGUGCCAGCAGCCGCGGUAAUACGUAGGGGGCAAGCGUUAUCCGGAUUUACUGGGUGUAAAGGGAGCGUAGGUGGCAUGGUAAGCCAGAAGUGAAGACCCGGGGCUCAACCCCGCGGAUUGCUUUUGGAACUAUCAGGCUGGAGUGCUGGAGGGGUAAGCGGAAUUCCUAGUGUAGCGGUGAAAUGCGUAGAUAUUAGGAGGAACACCGGUGGCGAAGGCGGCUUACUGGACAGAAACUGACACUGAGGCUCGAAAGCGUGGGGAGCAAACAGGAUUAGAUACCCGAGUAU